RNAcentral lists this ribosomal RNA (496 nucleotides) under uncultured bacterium. RNAcentral's name for it is "partial 16S ribosomal RNA". It matches the Rfam family "Bacterial small subunit ribosomal RNA", at positions 29 to 507 of the family's 1533-position model. The record is from RNAcentral.
AUGAACGCUGGCGGCGUGCCUAAUACAUGCAAGUCGAGCGAACAGACGAGGAGCUUGCUCCUCUGACGUUAGCGGCGGACGGGUGAGUAACACGUGGAUAACCUACCUAUAAGACUGGGAUAACUUCGGGAAACCGGAGCUAAUACCGGAUAAUAUAUUGAACCGCAUGGUUCAAUAGUGAAAGACGGUUUUGCUGUCACUUAUAGAUGGAUCCGCGCCGCAUUAGCUAGUUGGUAAGGCAACGGCUUACCAAGGCAACGAUGCGUAGCCGACCUGAGAGGGUGAUCGGCCACACUGGAACUGAGACACGGUCCAGACUCCUACGGGAGGCAGCAGUAGGGAAUCUUCCGCAAUGGGCGAAAGCCUGACGGAGCAACGCCGCGUGAGUGAUGAAGGUCUUCGGAUCGUAAAACUCUGUUAUUAGGGAAGAACAAAUGUGUAAGUAACUAUGCACGUCUUGACGGUACCUAAUCAGAAAGCCACGGCUAACUACGUG